ACUGUGUUUCAACAUGGUAACACCAAUUGAAUUAUUGCCACUGUGCCCAAACAUACAUUCCUGAACCUCAGCCUAGCUAACACAGUGUUGACACUAAAUACCGUCAACUGUUUGGAAGCAACGAUAAUUUGACACAGAGUGUCGUCAAACGCUAUUAACUCGAACUAGUAAUGUUUUAAAAACGUAGAGCAGAACUUUUCUAAUCAGCUCGUCAACUAGACAGAUAGGCAGGCAGACUAACAUCACUUCAGCGUCAGAGAUUUCCCAGAUUGGGAUAAUUUGCUCUGGUUUUAGUAUGUGUAGAUUGGUUCCAUCUGUCACCUCAUCACCUGGACUCACACAAUCAUCCCGAUAUAUAGAUUUUUCGACCACUUUUAACGGUUUGUAGCAAUCUCCUCUCGUGAUGUAAGAGUCCUUUCCACUUCA
Molecule: transfer RNA, 426 nt
Filed under: Schistosoma mansoni
Lineage: Eukaryota; Metazoa; Platyhelminthes; Trematoda; Strigeidida; Schistosomatidae
Source: RNAcentral